UCUCUAUAAAUGGUGGAG
Molecule: small nuclear RNA, 18 nt
Filed under: Arabidopsis thaliana (thale cress)
Lineage: Eukaryota; Viridiplantae; Streptophyta; Magnoliopsida; Brassicales; Brassicaceae
Description: snRNA_18716
Source: RNAcentral